This 1484-nucleotide ribosomal RNA is filed under the name Lacticaseibacillus paracasei. RNAcentral's name for it is "bacterial SSU rRNA". It matches the Rfam family "Bacterial small subunit ribosomal RNA". Lineage: Bacteria; Bacillati; Bacillota; Bacilli; Lactobacillales; Lactobacillaceae. The record is from RNAcentral.
GGGACUGGCGGGCGUGCUAAUACAUGCAAGUCGAACGAGUUCUCGUUGAUGAUCGGUGCUUGCACCGAGAUUCAACAUGGAACGAGUGGCGGACGGGUGAGUAACACGUGGGUAACCUGCCCUUAAGUGGGGGAUAACAUUUGGAAACAGAUGCUAAUACCGCAUAGAUCCAAGAACCGCAUGGUUCUUGGCUGAAAGAUGGCGUAAGCUAUCGCUUUUGGAUGGACCCGCGGCGUAUUAGCUAGUUGGUGAGGUAAUGGCUCACCAAGGCGAUGAUACGUAGCCGAACUGAGAGGUUGAUCGGCCACAUUGGGACUGAGACACGGCCCAAACUCCUACGGGAGGCAGCAGUAGGGAAUCUUCCACAAUGGACGCAAGUCUGAUGGAGCAACGCCGCGUGAGUGAAGAAGGCUUUCGGGUCGUAAAACUCUGUUGUUGGAGAAGAAUGGUCGGCAGAGUAACUGUUGUCGGCGUGACGGUAUCCAACCAGAAAGCCACGGCUAACUACGUGCCAGCAGCCGCGGUAAUACGUAGGUGGCAAGCGUUAUCCGGAUUUAUUGGGCGUAAAGCGAGCGCAGGCGGUUUUUUAAGUCUGAUGUGAAAGCCCUCGGCUUAACCGAGGAAGCGCAUCGGAAACUGGGAAACUUGAGUGCAGAAGAGGACAGUGGAACUCCAUGUGUAGCGGUGAAAUGCGUAGAUAUAUGGAAGAACACCAGUGGCGAAGGCGGCUGUCUGGUCUGUAACUGACGCUGAGGCUCGAAAGCAUGGGUAGCGAACAGGAUUAGAUACCCUGGUAGUCCAUGCCGUAAACGAUGAAUGCUAGGUGUUGGAGGGUUUCCGCCCUUCAGUGCCGCAGCUAACGCAUUAAGCAUUCCGCCUGGGGAGUACGACCGCAAGGUUGAAACUCAAAGGAAUUGACGGGGGCCCGCACAAGCGGUGGAGCAUGUGGUUUAAUUCGAAGCAACGCGAAGAACCUUACCAGGUCUUGACAUCUUUUGAUCACCUGAGAGAUCAGGUUUCCCCUUCGGGGGCAAAAUGACAGGUGGUGCAUGGUUGUCGUCAGCUCGUGUCGUGAGAUGUUGGGUUAAGUCCCGCAACGAGCGCAACCCUUAUGACUAGUUGCCAGCAUUUAGUUGGGCACUCUAGUAAGACUGCCGGUGACAAACCGGAGGAAGGUGGGGAUGACGUCAAAUCAUCAUGCCCCUUAUGACCUGGGCUACACACGUGCUACAAUGGAUGGUACAACGAGUUGCGAGACCGCGAGGUCAAGCUAAUCUCUUAAAGCCAUUCUCAGUUCGGACUGUAGGCUGCAACUCGCCUACACGAAGUCGGAAUCGCUAGUAAUCGCGGAUCAGCACGCCGCGGUGAAUACGUUCCCGGGCCUUGUACACACCGCCCGUCACACCAUGAGAGUUUGUAACACCCGAAGCCGGUGGCGUAACCCUUUUAGGGAGCGAGCCGUCUAAGGUGGACAAAAGGUUGGC